CAUUCGCACAAAAUUUGCAUUGGAUUUGUGAAGAGCAAAAUUGGCCUUCUGUUCAUUGCUUUCCUUUAAUUAAUUUAUCAAUACAAUAUUAAUGUAAUGAAAUGAUUUUAUUUCUUCCCAAACCCUAGCCUGGCCGUCCACUCUCCGGCCAUGGAUUCCGACCGCGGAGAGAACGGCGACUCCUCUCACAACCACGUUUCCAAGAAGCCAAAGCUCUCUGCUUUCAUAUCCGAAGAGGAAAUCCGACAAGAGUUCUCUCAUCACCAGCGUGGAAUCGCGCGAAUCAACAACGGUAGUUUCGGAAGCUGCCCCGCUUCCAUAAUCGCCGCUCAGAAGGAGUGGCAGCUCCGAUUUCUUCAACAGCCUGAUGAUUUCUACUUCAAUCACCUCCGGAAGGGCUUGCUCGAAUCCAGAACUGUUGUAAAGGGCCUCAUCAAUGCUGACUCCGUCGACGAAGUUUCCCUCAUCGACAACGCUACCACGGCCGCCGCUAUCGUGCUCCAACAGAUCGGCCGCGCCUUCGCCCAAGGUAAAUUUCAAAAAGGCGAUGUCGUUGUCAUGCUCCACUGCGCUUUCCAGUCGGUGAAGAAGUCGAUUCAGGCCUAUGUUACUGGAGCCGGUGGCUCCGUCAUCGAAGUCCAAUUGCCAUUUCCAUUGACGUCGAAAGAGGAAAUCGUUUCUGAGUUUAGGAAAGGUUUAGAGAAAGGUAAAUCCGAUGGUAGGCAUGUUAGGUUAGCUAUAAUUGAUCAUAUAACAUCAAUGCCGUGCGUUGUGGUGCCCGUAGAGGAAUUGGUUAAGAUUUGUAGGCAGGAAGGGGUCGACCAGGUGUUUGUAGAUGCAGCUCAUGCUAUUGGUAGUGUUCCUGUUGAUGUUAAAGAAAUUGGGGCUGAUUUCUACGUUAGUAAUUUGCAUAAGUGGUUCUUUUGCCCGCCUUCAGUUGCAUUUUUGUAUUGUAGAAAAUCGCCUUUAUCAUCUGAAGUGCACCAUCCGGUGGUUUCCCAUGAAUUUGGAAAUGGAUUGGCUAUAGAAAGUUCAUGGAUAGGGACAAGGGAUUACAGUUCACAGCUUGUUGUUCCUUCAGUUUUGGAGUUUGUGAAUAGGUUCGAAGGUGGUAUUGAGGGUAUUAUGAUGAGGAAUCAUGAAAUUGUUGUUAAAAUGGGAGAAAUGCUUGCUAAGUCCUGGGGAACAAAUCUUGGGGCACCUCCGGAAAUGUGUGCUAGCAUGAUUAUGGUUGGUUUGCCUUCUAGAUUGUUUAUUUCCAGUGAGGAAGAUGCUAUGAGAUUGAGGUCGUAUUUGCGUCAGCAUCAUGGUAUUGAAGUUCCCUUACAUUAUCAGGCUCCCUCAGAUGUUGAGGGUGGCCCAAAGGAUAAGGAUGGUCUUGUAACAGGUUAUGCUAGGAUUUCUCAUCAAGUUUAUAACAGUUUUGACGAUUAUUGCAAGUUUAGGGAUGCAAUUAAUCAACUUGUUGAGCAGCGACGGAGUUGCAAAAUGCUUUUUAUGGAAUAAAGAGGCCCAGUUUCAAGCUGAAAGAAGAUUUGAAAAGGCUCAUCACCAGAUUUUUGGAUGGUUGGUCGGGAGCAGGGAGGAGCAGUUUUCAAUGGAACAAUGUCUAUUUUCUCUACUCAUGCUACUACGGGCUUGCAUGGUUUCCAAAUAAUGAAUGCUGGAGAGUGUUAUGUACUCACUAGAACUGUGAUUGAUUCCUAGUAGCUUCCACCCCUUGUAAGCCAAUUUUCUAGUCUAUGGGAUCCUGCUAUAUGUAUAUGUCCCAUGGUAAUUGAUCACCACAAUAAACAUAAAAUAUCAGCCCUAGUCUAGCAAUUCCAUCAAGUUAAGCUGAAAAUUUUACAUGAACUUCAGUUUAACCUCUUGGAGGUUCAUUCACCAAGAUAAUGAGUGAUUGUCUGGGAAUUAAAAAAAUCUCUUUUAGAUUACUUGUCUCA
Vitis vinifera (wine grape) is the source of this 1943-nucleotide RNA transcript. It is a transcript of the gene named L-cysteine desulfhydrase, with no coding region annotated. The transcript has 3 exons. The record is from RefSeq and is a predicted model, not a curated record. Lineage: Eukaryota; Viridiplantae; Streptophyta; Magnoliopsida; Vitales; Vitaceae.